Molecule: ribosomal RNA, 116 nt
Filed under: Pteropus alecto (black flying fox)
Lineage: Eukaryota; Metazoa; Chordata; Mammalia; Chiroptera; Pteropodidae
Source: RNAcentral
GGCUACGGCCACGCCACCCUGAACAAGCCCGAUAUCUGAUCUCAGAAGCUAAGCAGGGUCGGGCCCGGUUAGUACUUGGAUGGGAGACCACCUAGGAAGACCGGGUGCUGUAGACA